AAAAUUUGGUAUUGUUUACUGAGGGUGGUAAAGGGUUAUUUUCGUGCAACGUGAUCGCCGUUUUUUAUUUCACAUUCAAUGUGUUUUUACUUUUUGAUUUGACGUUCAGUCGUGCAAGACGGGUGCCUCGUUCAACGUGUUCUGCUUAUUUAAUUUUACGUGCAUCGUGAUUUUCAAAGUCUUAUUUUGCGUGCUCAGCAUUUUUCAAAUAAAAUUCAAACACUUGUCAGGGAUAGUCAAGAAAUACUUUUUUAAAAGCCGUAAACCAAUUAUAUCUUAAAUGUGUAUACUAAAUCGGGAAUAUCAAGUAAAACAAAGAGUUAAUAUGUAAAAGAAGACAGUGACUCAGUCACCAAAGGUACAAAUAAAAGUAUUUAUUUUUCGUGCAACGUUCAUAACAGAAAUUAUUUCACGUUCAACGUGAAAUUAUGUCUUAUUUCACGUUUUUUUCGUGCAAGCACCCCCCCUUUACCACCCUCUUUACUUCUUCUUUUUCUUUUGUUACAGAAAACCAUCAACGUACUGAUGUUUACUUUCCGGCGCAUGCCUGGUAAAUGUUUUUUAAUAAAUUUAUGUUGAUAAUUUUUGUCAAAAUAUAAAUUAACAAAAUAUUUCUUAUUCAAAGUUGUUUUUGGUCAUAUAUUUUCGUAUUUUCAAUUUUUACAAUUUUUCUUUGAUUUUAAUUUAUACAAUUUUUUAUUUAGUUUUUAAAUGUUACAUUUUUUAUUUUUAUUUUUUUGGUAUAAGAUAAAAACAAGAG
Molecule: long non-coding RNA, 760 nt
Filed under: Mytilus galloprovincialis (Mediterranean mussel)
Lineage: Eukaryota; Metazoa; Mollusca; Bivalvia; Mytilida; Mytilidae
Source: RNAcentral